CCCCAUCCCAGGGCUCUGGGGAUGACUCGGCCCUGAAGAGGAGGGGCCGAGGCUGCUGGUCCCCACGUGUCAUGGUCACAGCUGGGGAGCUUCGGCUUGAGGACUCCCGUCCAACCCCUUCUUGACUAUGGGGCCCUAGGGCUUUUGGGAAGCUCUAGGUGGCCUGGAAGGGUGGCCCAGACUCUGGGGCCCCCAGAACCCCCAUGCGCUUCCUGGGUCUGUGGACACACGGAAGCCACUCUGCCCCUCAGUGCUGGCAAAGGAUCCCCUGCUCCAUUCAACUCUCAGGUGCUGGCCCUGGGCCAGUCCCUGGGGCUCGUGCUCCAGGAGGAAUCAGAGCUGGAGAAGGAGGGGCUAGGCCAGCCUCCAGCCCCGGGGCCAGGGAGCUUCUGCCCCCCACGCAGCCCCAAGUCCUUUGAGCUCUCAGCUUUAGCUGUGGGUCUGGGGUGGGGGGCCGCCUCGUCACUCGCCAAGGUUCAGAAUAGCAGAGCUCCCCAGUGACCACUCCCUUCUUACCCUGCCAGCUUGUCCACCAUUGAUGACACCAACCAGCAUUUGGCCAAGCGGGAGCAUCCCCUCCAGAAAUCCCCUCUGGGCCAGGACAGAAGUUCCUGGAAGGCCCUUUCCAUUAGCACAGACAUGCCGGGCAUCGUUCCAGGAGGCUCUGAGACCUGAGCUUUGCAAAGGGGAUGAGCAAUAAAAAUGACACCAGCGCCCUUCACAGAGGGCUCGCCCUGUGGGGCCUGUAGCCAGGUGCUCGCUGUCCAUCCCCACGUCCACUUCUCCCAGCUUCCCUGUGAGGGAGGUGCAGCAGGAGGAAAUGAGGGCGACGUGGCCUGCGUGUGGUCACACGGCUCGGGAGCUGCAGAGCUGGAAUGCAAGGCUGGGCUGUCACCAGAGUUCCUGUUAGUGGUGUGUCUGGGAAAGGAAGGGCUGGUAGGGAUAAGGGUCAGUGGCUGUGGGUCCACAGGGAGGACGAGGCAGGGGGUGUUGGGGCCCCUGCAAGCUGGCAUGGCCAGUCUCUCCUGUGGCCCCUGUGAGAAGCCAAGGGAACGCAGCUGCUCAGCCUGGCACCUCCCCACCCCACGUCACUCUUCCGGGCAGAGCCGGGCCAGAGCAGGAGGUCCCCGAGGGCAGGCACCGUGUUGGUUUUAUCCACUGCUGUGUCCCCAGAGCCUGGCACCGAGUCUGGCACACAGUAGGUGCUCCACCGACACAAGCCAGAUGAGCGAACAGCACACAGGAGGGGUGCCAAUGCCCUAAGUUGCCCGGUCAGGCACAGCCCAGGCUCGGACUCUCGGCAUCAGGGAAAAACAAAGGUGUUUAUUUGCAACAGACGCUGAUAUAGCACAAGGCCCGGUAAGGAUGGGCAUGGGUGGAGCCGCCUGGCCGCCCCCAAGUCCCUGAGUCUGGAGUCGGGGUCCCACCAGCGGCCUUCCCUGGAGAGCACGGUGCUCACCCACAAGUGGGCAAGAGGGAGACAAGUGUUGGAAAGCGGGAGGCCCGGGUCCAGCCAAGUCCAUCUCUGGGCCUCAGUUUCCCCAUCUGCACAAUGGAUGCCCACCUCCUGCCCUUCAGCCUCCUCUGACUGGAAGGGCAGGAAAGGCCUUUGGAGAGCGGAGCACCAUCGUUUCUCCUCCAGGAGGACCGAGGCCCUGCAGCAGGGCGCUGGGAGAAGAGCCCCGAGCUCCCAG
Molecule: long non-coding RNA, 1694 nt
Filed under: Equus caballus (horse)
Lineage: Eukaryota; Metazoa; Chordata; Mammalia; Perissodactyla; Equidae
Description: lncRNA (ENSECAG00000054235.1)
Source: RNAcentral